RNAcentral lists this long non-coding RNA (660 nucleotides) under Callithrix jacchus (white-tufted-ear marmoset). RNAcentral's name for it is "lncRNA (ENSCJAG00000085221.1)". The record is from RNAcentral. Lineage: Eukaryota; Metazoa; Chordata; Mammalia; Primates; Cebidae.
AUGGCCAGCCCCUCUCUUGGGCCUCAGUUUCCUGAUCUGUCUGGACUAGGUGACUUGUCUGUGUGGGCAGUGGAUGGAACCCUUUCUCUUGGCCUCAUGGCACUCACUUCUGGCCCAAGAGGACUGAGAGGCCUUGCCCUCCCUACUCUCCAUGACCCUCAACACACAGGCCUUGAAGAGGGAGUGAGUCCUGCUCCAAACCUGGCAGAACGCCCUCCCUUUCCUGGCCUGCAAGGGCAGCCCUGCCACUGCCCGUUUCCUUUCCACAGGCUGGGCCACCACCAAGCCAGAACUCCUAGCCCCAGUGGAGAGAGGAGACCAGCAGGCAACUGCAGCCUGCCCAGUGUGGAGAGGGGCCAGACCCUGGGCACUGAUGAAGAAACUGAGGCACAGAGAGGCCGAAUCCACCGUCGAAGGUCCCAUAGCUGGAGGAAGCGCCCCUCACAUCCAUUACUCAGACCAGCCAUGGGGCACAUCUACUUCCAGGGAGGCCCAGAAACAUGGUCUGGAGUCUGGACGGCCGCGUGCCCAGCAGGACACUAAGUGCUCUAUGCAGGCCAGCUGGAAACACCCCCAGGAUUUCUGUCCUGGAUCAGGAGAGAGGAAGUGGGAGGAGCCAGCAGGGCGCACAGGAGACCACUGAGACACACCUCUGCUCAG